AGCUUGCUCUCGGGUGACGAGCGGCGGACGGGUGAGUAAUGUCUGGGAAACUGCCUGAUGGAGGGGGAUAACUACUGGAAACGGUAGCUAAUACCGCAUAACGUCGCAAGACCAAAGUGGGGGACCUUCGGGCCUCAUGCCAUCAGAUGUGCCCAGAUGGGAUUAGCUAGUAGGUGGGGUAACGGCUCACCUAGGCGACGAUCCCUAGCUGGUCUGAGAGGAUGACCAGCCACACUGGAACUGAGACACGGUCCAGACUCCUACGGGAGGCAGCAGUGGGGAAUAUUGCACAAUGGGCGCAAGCCUGAUGCAGCCAUGCCGCGUGUGUGAAGAAGGCCUUCGGGUUGUAAAGCACUUUCAGCGGGGAGGAAGGCGAUGAGGUUAAUAACCUUGUCGAUUGACGUUACCCGCAGAAGAAGCACCGGCUAACUCCGUGCCAGCAGCCGCGGUAAUACGGAGGGUGCAAGCGUUAAUCGGAAUUACUGGGCGUAAAGCGCACGCAGGCGGUCUGUCAAGUCGGAUGUGAAAUCCCCGGGCUCAACCUGGGAACUGCAUUCGAAACUGGCAGGCUAGAGUCUUGUAGAGGGGGGGUAGAAUUCCAGGUGUAGCGGUGAAAUGCGUAGAGAUCUGGAGGAAUACCGGUGGCGAACGCGGCCCCCUGGACGAAGACUGACGCUCACGUGCGAAAGCGUGUGGAGCAGACAGGAUUAGAUACCCUGGUACUCCACGCCGUAGACGAUCUCCAUCUGGAGGUUGUGCCCUUGAGGCGUGGCUUCCGGAGCUAACGCGUUAAAUCGACCGCCUGGCGAGUACAGCCGCAAGGUUAAGACUCAAAUGAAUUGACGGGGGCGCGCACAAGCAGUGCAGCAUGUAGUUUAAUUCGAUGCAGCGCGCACAAUCUUACCUGGUCUUGACAUCCACAGAAGUUUCCACAGAUGGAUUGGUGCCUUCCGGAACUGUUAAACAGGUGCUUCAUGGCUGUCGUCAGCUCCUGU
Molecule: ribosomal RNA, 995 nt
Filed under: Klebsiella pneumoniae
Lineage: Bacteria; Pseudomonadati; Pseudomonadota; Gammaproteobacteria; Enterobacterales; Enterobacteriaceae
Description: bacterial SSU rRNA
Rfam family: Bacterial small subunit ribosomal RNA
Source: RNAcentral